This 848-nucleotide ribosomal RNA is filed under the name uncultured bacterium. Its description in RNAcentral is "bacterial SSU rRNA". It matches the Rfam family "Bacterial small subunit ribosomal RNA", at positions 59 to 917 of the family's 1533-position model. The record is from RNAcentral.
CAGUCGAACGGACUCAUAUUGAAACCUAGUGAUUUAUGAGUUAGUGGCGGACGGGUGAGUAACGCGUGGAUAACCUGCCGUAUACCGGGGGAUAACACUUAGAAAUAGGUGCUAAUACUGCAUAAGCGCACGGCUCCGCAUGGGGCAGUGUGAAAAACUCCGGUGGUAUACGAUGGAUCCGCGUCUGAUUAGCUAGUUGGCGGGGUAACGGCCCACCAAGGCAGCGAUCAGUAGCCGGCCUGAGAGGGUGGACGGCCACAUUGGGACUGAGACACGGCCCAAACUCCUACGGGAGGCAGCAGUGGGGAAUAUUGCACAAUGGGGGAAACCCUGAUGCAGCGACGCCGCGUGAGUGAAGAAGUAUCUCGGUACGUAAAGCUCUAUCAGCAGGGAAGAAAAUGACGGUACCUGACUAAGAAGCCCCGGCUAACUACGUGCCAGCAGCCGCGGUAAUACGUAGGGGGCAAGCGUUAUCCGGAUUUACUGGGUGUAAAGGGAGCGUAGACGGCAGCACAAGUCUGGAGUGAAAUCCCGGGGCUUAACCCCGGAACUGCUUUGGAAACUGUGCGGCUGGAGUGCAGGAGGGGUAAGCGGAAUUCCUAGUGUAGCGGUGAAAUGCGUAGAUAUUAGGAGGAACACCGGUGGCGAAGGCGGCUUACUGGACUGUAACUGACGUUGAGGCUCGAAAGCGUGGGGAGCAAACAGGAUUAGAUACCCUGGUAGUCCACGCCGUAAACGAUGAUUACUAGGUGUCGGGGGAUCAAGGUCCUCCGGUGCCGGCGCAAACGCAUUAAGUAAUCCACCUGGGGAGUACGUUCGCAAGAAUGAAACUCAAAGGAAUUGACGGG